CCUGCCCCUUGAGGUGUUGCUGUCCGACUGCAUGUUGAGCCUGUGUCAUGAGGGGUGGAGAGUAACAGGGCUAUGUCUACGCCGAGGACUCAGAACAGUGGGUGCUUGGAGUGGUUGAUAGAACCGACAUC
Molecule: small nucleolar RNA, 131 nt
Organism: Oncorhynchus masou masou (cherry salmon)
Lineage: Eukaryota; Metazoa; Chordata; Actinopteri; Salmoniformes; Salmonidae
Product: small nucleolar RNA SNORA17
Exons: 1
Source: RefSeq, a predicted model, not a curated record